AGAACGAACGCUGGCGGCAUGCCUAACACAUGCAAGUCGAACGAAGCCUUCGGGCUUAGUGGCGCACGGGUGCGUAACACGUGGGAAUCUGCCCUUAGGUACGGAAUAACUCAGGGAAACUUGAGCUAAUACCGUAUGAUGUCUUCGGACCAAAGAUUUAUCGCCUAAGGAUGAGCCCGCGUCGGAUUAGCUAGUUGGUGGGUAAAGGCCUACCAAGGCGACGAUCCGUAGCUGGUCUGAGAGGAUGAUCAGCCACACUGGGGCUGAGACACGGCCCAGACUCCUACGGGAGGCAGCAGUGGGGAAUAUUGGACAAUGGGCGAAAGCCUGAUUCAGCAAUGCCGCGUGCAGGAAGAAGGCCUUCGGUUGUAACUGCUUUGUACGGACGAAACGGUCU
Molecule: ribosomal RNA, 397 nt
Filed under: uncultured soil bacterium
Lineage: Bacteria
Description: bacterial SSU rRNA
Rfam family: Bacterial small subunit ribosomal RNA
Source: RNAcentral